This 468-nucleotide ribosomal RNA is filed under the name uncultured bacterium. Its description in RNAcentral is "partial 16S ribosomal RNA". It matches the Rfam family "Bacterial small subunit ribosomal RNA", at positions 28 to 507 of the family's 1533-position model. The record is from RNAcentral.
GACGAACGCUGGCGGCGUGCUUAACACAUGCAAGUCGAACGGAAAGGCCCUGCUUCUGUGGGGUGCUCGAGUGGCGAACGGGUGAGUAACACGUGAGUAACCUGCCCUUGACUUUGGGAUAACUUCAGGAAACUGGGGCUAAUACCGGAUAGGAGCUCCUGCUGCAUGGUGGGGGUUGGAAAGUUUCGGCGGUUGGGGAUGGACUCGCGGCUUAUCAGCUUGUUGGUGGGGUAGUGGCUUACCAAGGCUUUGACGGGUAGCCGGCCUGAGAGGGUGACCGGCCACAUUGGGACUGAGAUACGGCCCAGACUCCUACGGGAGGCAGCAGUGGGGAAUAUUGCACAAUGGGCGGAAGCCUGAUGCAGCAACGCCGCGUGCGGGAUGACGGCCUUCGGGUUGUAAACCGCUUUCGCCUGUGACGAAGCGCGAGUGACGGUAAUGGGUAAAGAAGCACCGGCUAACUACGUG